AUUGAACGCUGGCGGCAUGCUUUACACAUGCAAGUCGAGCGGCAGCGCGGCCUUCGGGCUGGCGGCGAGCGGCGAACGGGUGAGUAAUGCAUCGGAACAUGCCCAGUCGUGGGGGAUAACACUUCGAAAGAAGUGCUAAUACCGCAUACGUCCUGAGGGGGAAAGCGGGGGAUCGCAAGACCUCGCGCGAUUGGAGUGGCCGAUGUCAGAUUAGCUAGUUGGUGGGGUAAAGGCCUACCAAGGCGACGAUCGGUAGCUGGUCUGAGAGGAUGAUCAGCCACACUGGGACUGAGACACGGCCCAGACUCCUACGGGAGGCAGCAGUGGGGAAUUUUGGACAAUGGGGGCAACCCUGAUCCAGCCAUGCCGCGUGAGUGAAGAAGGCCUUCGGGUUGUAAAGCUCUUUCGGCAGGAACGAAACGGUGGGCUCUAACAUAGUCCGCUAAUGACGGUACCUGAAGAAGAAGCACCGGCUAACUACGUG
Molecule: ribosomal RNA, 484 nt
Filed under: uncultured bacterium
Lineage: Bacteria
Description: partial 16S ribosomal RNA
Rfam family: Bacterial small subunit ribosomal RNA
Source: RNAcentral